Molecule: ribosomal RNA, 225 nt
Filed under: Salmonella enterica subsp. enterica serovar Lubbock
Lineage: Bacteria; Pseudomonadati; Pseudomonadota; Gammaproteobacteria; Enterobacterales; Enterobacteriaceae
Description: partial 23S ribosomal RNA
Rfam family: Bacterial large subunit ribosomal RNA
Source: RNAcentral
UAAAGAAAGCGUAAUAGCUCACUGGUCGAGUCGGCCUGCGCGGAAGAUGUAACGGGGCUAAACCAUGCACCGAAGCUGCGGCAGCGACACUGUGUGUUGUUGGGUAGGGGAGCGUUCUGUAAGCCUGUGAAGGUGGCCUGUGAGGGUUGCUGGAGGUAUCAGAAGUGCGAAUGCUGGCAUAAGUAACGAUAAAGCGGGUGAAAAGCCCGCUCGCCGGAAGACCAA